CCUACGGGUGGCAGCAGUGAGGAAUAUUGGUCAAUGGGAGGAAUCCUGAACCAGCCAUGCCGCGUGCAGGACGACGGCUCUACGAGUUGUAAACUGCUUUUGUACCGGGGUAAAAUGCUCUACGAGUAGGGUUUUGAAAGUACGGUAUGAAUAAGGAUCGGCUAACUCCGUGCCAGCAGCCGCGGUAAUACGGAGGAUCCGAGCGUUAUCCGGAUUUAUUGGGUUUAAAGGGUGCGUAGGUUGUUUUUUAAGUUGGCGGUGAAAUACCGAUGCUCAACAUCGGGGCUGCCGCUGAUACUGUAGGACUAGAGAUCGGAUGCAGCAGGCGGAAUGUGUAGUGUAGCGGUGAAAUGCAUAGAUAUUACACAGAACACCGAUUGCGAAGGCAGCUUGCUAGGCCGGAUCUGACACUGAUGCACGAAAGCGUGGGGAUCGAACAGGAUUAGAUACCCGGGUAGUC
RNAcentral lists this ribosomal RNA (460 nucleotides) under uncultured bacterium. Its description in RNAcentral is "partial 16S ribosomal RNA". It matches the Rfam family "Bacterial small subunit ribosomal RNA", at positions 338 to 795 of the family's 1533-position model. The record is from RNAcentral.